RNAcentral lists this long non-coding RNA (820 nucleotides) under Crocodylus porosus (Australian saltwater crocodile). RNAcentral describes it as "lncRNA (ENSCPRG00005001602.1)". The record is from RNAcentral. Lineage: Eukaryota; Metazoa; Chordata; Crocodylia; Crocodylidae.
GGCAGAUCAAUGCCUCUGCAGCGAGGAAGGGAUUGGGAUUGGGAUUGGGAUUGGGAUUGGGGCUGGGACGGUGCUGCCCAGCUGCCCUCAUCCAGUGGCGCUCACGCUGCGCGCUGCUGGUCUAGGAGGUCAUGGGCGGCAGGGAGGGAGGGGGCAUGUGCCCCUGGAUCUGCACAGUGUUUGUGGGGCCAGGGCUGGGCCAGGGCUGCACCAGGCUGUGCUCUGGGCCAGCUGUGGAAGGUGCUGGAAGCAGGUGCUACGGCCUCCCACCACUUCCAGAGCCAGGGCUGCUGUGGUGCCUCCAGACAAGUGAUAUGCAGCAGCAGGAGCUCCUCCAGCCUCUCUGCGCCUCCUGGACAAGCCGUGGCUUUGCUGUACCCUGGCCAGGAUGCUUACAAGAUUGACCUGCGCAGGGAAGGCUUGUGAAUCCCACUAGACUCAGACAUGAGGUCGACAGAGCCAUGUUGCCUCAUCUCGAGCUUCCCCUUCCCUUUGGUGACGUCUUUAAGCCACAUAAGAGGACGGAGGGACAGCUGCUAGACGAUGAGGUCUCUUUUCAAACCAAGAACACUACCGACGCCGUUCGAAAUGGCCUUUUGUGUGUAGCGACCGUGGGUAUCACGUGUCGUUUGAAAAGCCCAUUCCAAACAGCUAAUCAAAGACCAGUACAUUUCAAAUAGCUGACAGUAUGGGAUGGAAAUGGGUGGGGUGCAAAACCUUUCCAAAAUAAUGCUUUGUAGUGAAUCAUACAUUCCUCCAACCAAGUACAAUUCUGUGUAGUGUCAAUAAAUACUUAAAUAUCUUCUCCUGUCCUGCGUAG